RNAcentral lists this unclassified non-coding RNA (294 nucleotides) under Hevea brasiliensis (rubber tree). The record is from RNAcentral. Lineage: Eukaryota; Viridiplantae; Streptophyta; Magnoliopsida; Malpighiales; Euphorbiaceae.
AUAGGACCAAUGUCCUAAUGACAUGCGUUAUUAUCAAGUAGAGGUAAUCAAGUGAGCACAAAACUGUAUAAAACAUAACAAGACUGAACUGAAAAGAAAGCUAGAUCACUCGUGAGCAAUUGCCACUACUUGUUUCCCAACAUUGCGACCACUGAAAAUGCCUACCAGAGCAGCAGGAGCACUCUCAAUUCCUUCAGCAAUGUCUUCCACAUAAGUAAUCUUCCCUUCUCUAAUGUAAGGCACAACAAAGUCUAAGAACUUGGAAUACUGGCUGAAGUAAUCAAAAGCCACAAA